Molecule: ribosomal RNA, 425 nt
Filed under: uncultured bacterium
Lineage: Bacteria
Description: partial 16S ribosomal RNA
Rfam family: Bacterial small subunit ribosomal RNA
Source: RNAcentral
GUGGGGAACCUUGCGCAAUGGGCGAAAGCCUGACGCAGCCAUGCCGCGUGAAUGAUGAAGGUCUUAGGAUUGUAAAAUUCUUUCACCGGGGACGAUAAUGACGGUACCCGGAGAAGAAGCCCCGGCUAACUUCGUGCCAGCAGCCGCGGUAAUACGAAGGGGGCUAGCGUUGCUCGGAAUUACUGGGCGUAAAGGGCGCGUAGGCGGACAGUUUAGUCAGAGGUGAAAGCCCAGGGCUCAACCUUGGAAUUGCCUUUGAUACUGGCUGUCUUGAGUACGGGAGAGGUGAGUGGAACUCCGAGUGUAGAGGUGAAAUUCGUAGAUAUUCGGAAGAACACCAGUGGCGAAGGCGACUCACUGGCCCGUUACUGACGCUGAGGCGCGAAAGCGUGGGGAGCAAACAGGAUUAGAUACCCUGGUAGUCC